AGUGAACGCUGGCGGUAGGCCUAACACAUGCAAGUCGAACGGCAGCACAGUAAGAGCUUGCUCUUACGGGUGGCGAGUGGCGGACGGGUGAGGAAUACAUCGGAAUCUACUUUUUCGUGGGGGAUAACGUAGGGAAACUUACGCUAAUACCGCAUACGACCUACGGGUGAAAGCAGGGGAUCUUAGGACCUUGCGCGAUUGAAUGAGCCGAUGUCGGAUUAGCUAGUUGGCGGGGUAAAGGCCCACCAAGGCGACGAUCCGUAGCUGGUCUGAGAGGAUGAUCAGCCACACUGGAACUGAGACACGGUCCAGACUCCGACGGGAGGCAGCAGUGGGGAAUAUUGGACAAUGGGCGCAAGCCUGAUCCAGCCAUACCGCGUGGGUGAAGAAGGCCUUCGGGUUGUAAAGCCCUUUUGUUGGGAAAGAAAAGCAGCAGGUUAAUACCCCGCUGUUCUGACGGUACCCAAAGAAUAAGCACCGGCUAACUUCGUG
This 492-nucleotide ribosomal RNA is filed under the name uncultured bacterium. RNAcentral's name for it is "partial 16S ribosomal RNA". It matches the Rfam family "Bacterial small subunit ribosomal RNA", at positions 29 to 507 of the family's 1533-position model. The record is from RNAcentral.